RNAcentral lists this ribosomal RNA (431 nucleotides) under uncultured Allobaculum sp. RNAcentral's name for it is "bacterial SSU rRNA". It matches the Rfam family "Bacterial small subunit ribosomal RNA", at positions 957 to 1393 of the family's 1533-position model. Lineage: Bacteria; Bacillati; Bacillota; Erysipelotrichia; Erysipelotrichales; Erysipelotrichaceae. The record is from RNAcentral.
UAACGCGAAGAACCUUACCAGGCCUUGACACGGGAUGCAAAGACUUAGAGAUAAGUUGGAGGUUACCAUCCACACAGGUGGUGCAUGGUUGUCGUCAGCUCGUGUCGUGAGAUGUUCAGUUAAGUCUGGCAACGAGCGCAACCCUCGUGAUCUGUUACUACCAGUAAGAUGAGGACUCAGAUCAGACUGCCGGUGACAAACCGGAGGAAGGCGGGGAUGACGUCAAAUCAUCAUGCCCCUUAUGGCCUGGGCUACACACGUACUACAAUGGCGCCUACAGACGGAAGUGAAGCUGUGAAGUGGAGCGAACCCGAGAAAAGGCGCCCCAGUUCGGAUUGAAGUCUGCAACCCGACUUCAUGAAGUUGGAAUCGCUAGUAAUCGCGGAUCAGCAUGCCGCGGUGAAUACGUUCCCGGGCCUUGUACACACCGA